UGUGUUGUGAUUGAAAUCUAA
Molecule: non-coding RNA, 21 nt
Filed under: Caenorhabditis elegans
Lineage: Eukaryota; Metazoa; Nematoda; Chromadorea; Rhabditida; Rhabditidae
Source: RNAcentral